This 460-nucleotide ribosomal RNA is filed under the name uncultured bacterium. Its description in RNAcentral is "partial 16S ribosomal RNA". It matches the Rfam family "Bacterial small subunit ribosomal RNA", at positions 338 to 795 of the family's 1533-position model. The record is from RNAcentral.
CCUACGGGAGGCAGCAGUGAGGAAUAUUGGUCAAUGGGCUUACGCCUGAACCAGCCAAGUCGCGUGAGGGAAGACUGCCCUAUGGGUUGUAAACCUCUUUUGUCAGGGAGCAAUUGGCGCUACGUGUAGCGUUAUCGAGAGUACCUGAAGAAAAAGCAUCGGCUAACUCCGUGCCAGCAGCCGCGGUAAUACGGAGGAUGCGAGCGUUAUCCGGAUUUAUUGGGUUAAAAGGGUGCGUAGGCGGAAUGCCAAGUCAGCGGUAAAAUCGCGGGGCUCAACCUCGCUCCGCCGUUGAACCUGGCGUGCUUGAGUGGGCGAGAAGUAGGCGGAAUGCGUGGUGUAGCGGUGAAAUGCAUAGAUAUAACGCAGAACUCCGAUUGCGAAGGCAGCAUACCGGCGCCCAACUGACGCUGAAGCACGAAAGCGUGGGUAUCGAACAGGAUUAGAUACCCGUGUAGUC